GGGUCAGUAGGUUGGUCGUGCCACCGGUACGUACUGGUCUCACUGAUUCCUCCUUCCUGAAGAACCGUAAUGCCAUUAAUUUGGUGUUGCGGGGAAACAGGACUGUUACUUUGAAAAAAUUAGAGUGUUUAAAGCAAGCUAACGCUUGACUACAUUAGCAUGGAAUAAUGAAAUAGGACGAUCGAUCCUAUUUUGUUGGUUUCUAGGAUUGACGUA
This 216-nucleotide ribosomal RNA is filed under the name Glomeromycotina sp. RNAcentral describes it as "partial small subunit ribosomal RNA". The stretch from base 40 to 216 matches the Rfam family "Eukaryotic small subunit ribosomal RNA", at positions 686 to 864 of the family's 1831-position model. Lineage: Eukaryota; Fungi; Glomeromycota. The record is from RNAcentral.